RNAcentral lists this ribosomal RNA (460 nucleotides) under uncultured bacterium. RNAcentral's name for it is "partial 16S ribosomal RNA". It matches the Rfam family "Bacterial small subunit ribosomal RNA", at positions 338 to 795 of the family's 1533-position model. The record is from RNAcentral.
ACUACGGGGUGCAGCAGUGAGGAAUAUUGGUCAAUGGACGAGAGUCUGAACCAGCUAAGUAGCGUGAAGGAUGACUGCCCUAUGGGUUGUAAACUUCUUUUAUAAAGGAAUAAAACGAGGCACGUGUGCCUUUUUGCAUGUACUUUAUGAAUAAGGAUCGGCGAACUCCGGUCCAGCAGCCGCGGUAAUUCGGAGGAUCCGGGCGUUAUCCGGAUUUAGUGGGGUUAAAGGGAAGGUAGAUGGGGUGUUAAGUCAGUUGUGAAAGUUUGCGGUUCAACCGUAAAAUUGCAAUUGAUACUGGCAGGCUUGAGUACAGUGGAGGUAGGCGGAAUUCGUGGUGUAGCGGUGAAAUGCUUAGAUAUCACGAAGAACCCCGAUUGCGAAGGCAGCUUACUAAACUGUGACUGACAUUGAUGCUCGAAAGUGUGGGUAUCAAACAGGAUUAGAUACCCGAGUAGUC